Long non-coding RNA from Strigops habroptila (Kakapo), 2195 nucleotides. The record is from Ensembl. NCBI's taxonomy places the organism in Eukaryota, Metazoa, Chordata, Aves, Psittaciformes, Psittacidae.
CACCUCAGAUACAACACUGCUCAUCACACAUUUCAGUUGGGUAAACGGCAAAGUGUUAGCAUCAUCGUGCCAGCGAACAGGUUCCUGCCUGUUGUAAGGCUGUUGUAAUGUUCCCGAGGUAUCGAACACAAGGGGAUUUGUUUGUCUCAAGAGACUCACUUCUGUAAACUGAAGGAGAACCUUGUUUGUAACCGUUAAGCACAGAAUGGGUUCAGCAGAGCCAGAAACAAAACAGCUCUCUCUGGGCACAGAAAUGCAGGUCCCUCCCUGUUAAUUCAAGCCCUAGGUGCCAAUCUAGAGGCGCAGUUCAGUGCUGCAGCCGCCUUUCCCUUUGAGAUAUAUUCCAACAGACUGACACAGUCAAGUGGCAGCAGGGGCAGUGAUGUGAACACACUGUUCCUCAGUCUCUCACUCCCAACGAGCAUCUGUUAGUUCUCCACAGCAGAAGCCUUGUUUCUCACCCCAGUUAAAAACUAGAUUCUCCGAUACUAUUACAAACCUCCCCCUUACAAUUCCUUCAGGGUUCUUGGGUUGCACCUGAUUAGUUCCAGGCAGCAAGUCCAGGACGUUUUAUAGCUGGCAUAACAGCUUCUGUUAUUGAGUUUCAAACUCUUAACACUACAUGCAAGCCUAUUCCUCCCUGUUCCUUCAUCUGUAAGAGAAUUUACAAGCCAUAAAACAUCUUCAGAACUCUAGAUCUAGAUUUCAGGAGGCUUUCCUCAAUAUUUUUAGGCACAGGAAAAAAUAAUUACUUCUGUAGCUCCAGAAUUGACAUGACAUCUUUCUGCUUGCAAGGCAACAGCAUGGCAGAGUCCAGACUGAUGAUUCCCAAACCUUGUAACAAACUCAUAACUUCACUUGCUGCCUGAAACAGUGAAAAGACAAGACAUUUAAUUUAGUGAACUCCACUGCUGAGCCAGUAGCCAAAAGCACCGACAAGUCCUUGGGGAAAGUAAGCCAGUCAAACAAAUACCAACCUCACUGCUGGCUUUGUCAUUACCUGGGGAAAAAACUCCUGACAGCGCCAGCUGAGCUGGCGGUUAGACAAGACUCGCCUAGAGCAAGCUCCCGUGCAAACAAUGACUGAUUGCAGGACUGCUGCACUGCUCCUGAGAAACAGCCAGCCCUGGGGAGAGGGGUACCCCAGCAGGGCACAGCCUCUAACCCCCGCUCACCCACCACUGCUGACCUGUUUCCCUAUCACUUGAGUUAGGGUCAGCACUCACACAAUGGUCCUGGCAGGAGAGCAUGGCCAAAGAGACCACUGAGCCCUGGGGUCCUGCCCCCAAAGGGCAUGGCCAGGGUCACCUACACCACUUGCCAAAUUCCCAAAAGCAGAAAAGAGACCAUUUAUCUUCAGAAUUAGGACACACAUCUGUCAAUGAAAAUGAUUUAUCAGCAAAACCGAGUCUCUCUGGAUGUCUGAUCUGUCAUUCCUUUGAAGACUUGAUGAAUCUAGAGCUAACCCAAAGCAACCACCGCAGCCCGCUGGCAGCAGAGCAGCACGCACUAACAAGGUCCCUCUUGCUCUCACAAGACACACGCAUGUCCCUUUGUGGCUACUGGGUGUCAGGCUGAACUCCGCAACUCCACUGUUGUUAGCACACAGCCACUACGCUUGGCAACCAAAACAACAACGCAGUUACAACAGGGUGAUAAUCGCUCACCUUUUAAGUGAUGCCUUACGCCGUUAAGGGAACGGUGCCAGCGACCCGCCCCUUCAGUUCCUCAGCUUAUAGUUAUUGUUUUGUGCUGCCAGAAUUGGAUUUAUAAUCAUAGCAUGGUUUGGGUUGGAAGGGACCUUAAAUAUCAUCCAGCUCCAACCCCUCUGCCGCUGAACAGCAGAGAGCAGUUCUAACCCCUGUGAGAGAAACGGGGAACCGCUCUGCUGCUCGGGCGCGCACAUGCUCUGCCGAAGGAGCUGCCUCGGGAGGCAGCGGCAGCAGCUCUGAGGCCGAGUGCAUCGCUCCCCGGGCCGCCAGCCACCGCCCUGCCGCUGCCGGAGCGCCCGGCGGCCCAAGCUACCGCUGCGGCACGGACGGAACCGCUCACAAGCCACAGAGCCACCGGCAGCACCGCCCCCGCCGCCGGGCACCCGCCGAGAGGGGCACCCGCCGAGAGGGGCACCCGCCGCAGGGCGCCCCGCAUCCCCACCGCCGCGCCCCAGCGCCCCGGGCCGCGCAGAAAGGCCGAGC